RNAcentral lists this transfer RNA (363 nucleotides) under uncultured Microcystis sp. RNAcentral's name for it is "partial 16S-23S ribosomal RNA intergenic spacer". The stretch from base 134 to 207 matches the Rfam family "tRNA". The record is from RNAcentral. Lineage: Bacteria; Bacillati; Cyanobacteriota; Cyanophyceae; Chroococcales; Microcystaceae.
AAAGGGAGACCUAAUUCGGGUAUAAGACGAAAAAAUAGUAGUCGAAACCAAGAAUCAAUCCCAAAAGGUCGGAACGAGGUAUGUGGCUUUCAAACUAGGUUCUGGGUUCAUAAAAGACCUGAAUCAGGAACAAGGGCUAUUAGCUCAGGUGGUUAGAGCGCACCCCUGAUAAGGGUGAGGUCCCUGGUUCGAGUCCAGGAUGGCCCACCUGCACAGGUGGCAAAAACAAAGAAAAGAAGCGAGGAAUCAGCACCUUAUCUUACUUAUAUAGUAAGAGAGAAUGCUGGCUCUGAGUACAGAGUCCAGAGGAACCUUGAAAACUGCAUAGAGCUAGGUGAAAAAGCCAAAAAAGAAGACCGCAAG